This 849-nucleotide ribosomal RNA is filed under the name uncultured bacterium. Its description in RNAcentral is "bacterial SSU rRNA". It matches the Rfam family "Bacterial small subunit ribosomal RNA", at positions 8 to 811 of the family's 1533-position model. The record is from RNAcentral.
AGAGUUUGCUCUCUGGCUCAGGAUGAACGCCGGCGGUGUGCCUAAUACAUGCAAGUCGUACGCACUGGCCCAACUGAUUGAUGGUCCUUGCACCUGAUUGACGAUGGAUCACCAGUGAGUGGCGGACGGGUGAGUAACACGUAGGUGACCUGCCUCGGAGCGGGGGAUAACAUUUGGAAACAGAUGCUAAUACCGCAUAACAACAAAAGCCCACAUGGCUUUUGUUUGAAAGAUGGCUUUGGCUAUCACUCUGGGAUGGACCUGCGGUGCAUUAGCUAGUUGGUAAGGUAACGGCUUACCAAGGCAAUGAUGCAUAGCCGAGUUGAGAGACUGAUCGGCCACAAUGGAACUGAGACACGGUCCAUACUCCUACGGGAGGCAGCAGUAGGGAAUCUUCCACAAUGGGCGCAAGCCUGAUGGAGCAACACCGCGUGAGUGAAGAAGGGUUUCGGCUCGUAAAGCUCUGUUGUUGGAGAAGAACGUGCGUGAGAGUAACUGUUCACGCAGUGACGGUAUCCAACCAGAAAGUCACGGCUAACUACGUGCCAGCAGCCGCGGUAAUACGUAGGUGGCAAGCGUUAUCCGGAUUUAUUGGGCGUAAAGCGAGCGCAGGCGGUUGCUCAGGUCUGAUGUGAAAGCCUUCGGCUUAACCGAAGAAGUGCAUCGGAAACCGGGCGACUUGAGUGCAGAAGAGGACAGUGGAACUCCAUGUGUAGCGGUGGAAUGCGUAGAUAUAUGGAAGAACACCAGUGGCGAAGGCGGCUGUCUGGUCUGCAACUGACGCUGAGGCUCGAAAGCAUGGGUAGCGAACAGGAUUAGAUACCCUGGUAGUCCAUGCCGUAAACGAUG